AAUAUAUAUUUCUUUUUGGUAGUUUCGAUUUUCAAUCCCAGUCACCGCCUAUUUUACACUCAAAUUUCACGGUUUUUUUUUUUUUUCUUAAUAGUUUUUUACUAUAAUAGUAUAUUUAGUAUUAUUAAUUGUUUCAUGAAAUAAUAUUCGUGUAUUUUACGAAAUAGGUGACCGGAGAUUGACCCCCGUAAAAUUCGGCCCUGAUUAAGAUGGCGGCACACAAUGGUCCGAAUCGUAAUUAAGUUUAUUUAAAAUUCAAUUUUAAAAUUAUGUCAAAUAUGAUCUUUGCUAUAGAAUUAUUAAUAAUUAUAAGUAUACUAGAGAUGAUUUAAUGCUUAUCAUACAUUUUACCCAUAACAAACCUAGUUAAUUACCCAGACUCAAAACGAUAGGUUUGGUAUUUCACACUAUCAUAUCAGUUAAAAUGUAAAGGUUACAUAAUUAAGGUAAGCUAAAUUACGAUCCAGAGCACUGUGCGGCGGUUUGACCUGAAAAAUUCGUACUAUGUCUACUUUCGCUGAAUUACUGCAAUGUUUUCGGUUAAGCGGAGUUUAGGUAAACAUUUCCGGGUGUAAUUUAAUCGCAAACGAUGUAAAAUAGAUUUCGGUUCAAGUAUCACACGCAUGCGUCUUUAUUAUUAUUAUUAUAACUUGCACCGGAAACCCAAUGAUGGGUAUUCGCGAUCGGUGCGAAGAGAGUAUGGCGGCGACGGCGGCGGAGGUUCGGCACGCGCGGAAUCCGAUCGUGUCGUCGUCGCCUUCGUUGUCUGUAUUUUAAUUAAUACUUUUUCGAUUUCUUCUUUUUAUAUAUUCGCACGUUUUAACAACGACAACGGCCGAGAGCCACAACGAAAAUUAAUUAUUAUACACGCGGUCGUGGAUAAAUAAUAAUAAUUUAAUAAAAUUACGUGCCGAAACCGUAUAUAUUAUACAUUAUACGGGUCAAUGAUAAUAAUUUACUGCCAACACAAGCGUGCAUAACGGGGAAAAAACAAAAAAUACAAUAAAACACGUCGACGGCGAAUUUUCAUCACACUAAGAACUGCGCGGGUCGCAUAAUAUACGCGUCGUUUCGAUGGUAUGAAAUGCACUUUUAAAACGGGUGGAUAACGAUAUUUCGAAGGAAAAGUGUUUCAAUUAUAACAUUUUCGUAAAUUGAUAUUUUAUUGAUAAAGCCCGGUGUUUACACCGUACAGCCUACCGGGUAUUCGAAAUAUUUCAAUCGGGUUUAAAUCGAUUGUUAUUUGAACAUUGUGAACAAUAAUAGCAUAAUAUUAUGGCGUGCCUAUAUACCUACGCGUAAAUUCCUAUUGGCAAACACGAUAUUUAACCUCAACCUGUUAGGUAUGACACUACCUAUAAGUCUAUAACGCUUAAAAAUCGUCUUCCUCCGGUAUCGUCCGCUUUUGUCGCGUUUUAAUAACAUUAUAGGAAUCUAAACCGUUUCCGUACGUCGUCGUUAACAUUGUAAAGGCCGUAUUUUAACAACAAUAUUAUUCGUGUAGUCUUCGCUCGUCGGGUGGCUAUGAACGGGUUCCUCCUCGUGUGUGUAUUACAUUUGUACAACGUCUCGCCUAACAGUCCGGUCCGAGCCGAAAAGUGUCGACGCAGCAUAAAUAAUUGUGCGUCGUGUGUCGCAAGUGUAACA
RNAcentral lists this long non-coding RNA (1647 nucleotides) under Cinara cedri. Lineage: Eukaryota; Metazoa; Arthropoda; Insecta; Hemiptera; Aphididae. The record is from RNAcentral.